RNAcentral lists this long non-coding RNA (1216 nucleotides) under Phascolarctos cinereus (koala). RNAcentral's name for it is "lncRNA (ENSPCIG00000034302.1)". Lineage: Eukaryota; Metazoa; Chordata; Mammalia; Diprotodontia; Phascolarctidae. The record is from RNAcentral.
UGGGAUGGGUAUGUGCAGCGUCUAUGUAAUGUGUAUACGUCUACAUAUGCAUAAAUGCAAAGAAAGACGUAUGGGCACAAAGGCACACACAAACCUCUCUAUGUCUACAUUCGGUUAUCAUUACGCAUUGUGCAAUGUCUAUACCCCUAUGUCUUUAUGUACAUAUUUAUAAUGCACGGAUGUGCCCCGGCCAAUGGCAGGAUGGCGCUACAAUGUAUCCCAAUUCUCGAGGUUGGGGGGGCCCGCCCCCGCCCGCUCCGGGGAGCCAGUAUGAAAGAAGGUCGGCGGGUUCCUGCUCCUCUGCGCAGCGCUCAGCUCUCGGCAGCAGGGGACUGAGUCCUCCCCCUGCCUCCUCUCAGCCCACGCCGAGCUCAAUCUUCAUUCCAACCGCAGCCUCCGUCACGCUGACGUCAAUGGAGCCGGGCGCGUCCCCGUGGGUGGAUGUGGGCGCCAGCCCUCGGCUUUCCCCCCUCCUUUCUUCUUCAUUCCUUCCCCCCCCCGCUCCGUAAUGGAUUGGUUCACUCCGCUCCCCGCUUCUCCGGGAACGCCGAAGGCUCUUGAAUGAAGCAGGCCCAGUGAGCGGAAGUGGAAGGAACCAUCUGGGAGGCGGUGGGGGUCCCCCGCGCGUUCAUUGAAGGGCUCCGCGUCGGAGUGAACAUGGUGUUCCAUGUGCGUCUUAUGUAAAGCGAGCGACAGGCGGCUCAGCCAAUGGGCUCGCGGAGCAGGCCGAGGCCCCCGCCCCACUAUGCAGAUGAGCCGGGGGUGCCUCCAAUGUCGGGGCGCGGGGGGCGGGCCCGGCGCGUGCGGUCACGUUUUCCACUAUGUGACAGCCGCCUGGCCUCUUAGCUCUAGCAAGAGGCUGCCGCGUCGCGUUCUGUGGGUCCUCGGCUCAGCCUCCGCCUCCGCCUCGGCAACAGCCGCUCGCCUCCCGCCCCUCGGCCCGGGCCCUGGCUCCUACUGUUGCGCCGGCCAGUUUCCGCACGUCGUCGGUGUGCUGCUGCCGCCGCCUCCCGGGGAGCUGCGGGGCUCUCUACCAGCUUUGGCCUUUGGAGCUUCAAAUAUAGAAUUGUCCUGGUGCCUUAUUGAGACAUUUCUUGUCAGUUUUCUCUGAAGUGGUAAGUUGAUUUUUCCAUUGUUGAUAAGUGAUAAGUUGUGUGGGUUUUUUUUUAACUUUCCAUUAAAUAAACUUUAAGAGGCAUGCCCCUGUUAUCUUAAA